GACGAACGCUGGCGGCGUGCCUAAUACAUGCAAGUUGAGCGCUGAAGGUUGGUACUUGUACCAACUGGAUGAGCAGCGAACGGGUGAGUAACGCGUGGGGAAUCUGCCUUUGAGCGGGGGACAACAUUUGGAAACGAAUGCUAAUACCGCAUAAAAACUUUAAACACAAGUUUUAAGUUUGAAAGAUGCAAUUGCAUCACUCAAAGAUGAUCCCGCGUUGUAUUAGCUAGUUGGUGAGGUAAAGGCACACCAAGGCGAUGAUACAUAGCCGACCUGAGAGGGGGAUCGGCCAAAAUGGGACUGAGACACGGCCCAAACUCCUACGGGAGGCAGCAGUAGGGAAUCUUCGGCAAUGGACGAAAGUCUGAACGAGCAACGCCGCGGGAGUGAAGAAGGUUUUCGGAUCGUAAAACUCUGUUGGUAGAGAAGAACGUUGGUGAGAGUGGAAAGCUCAUCAAGUGACGGUAACUACCCAGAAAGGGACGGCUAACUACGUG
RNAcentral lists this ribosomal RNA (497 nucleotides) under uncultured bacterium. Its description in RNAcentral is "partial 16S ribosomal RNA". It matches the Rfam family "Bacterial small subunit ribosomal RNA", at positions 28 to 507 of the family's 1533-position model. The record is from RNAcentral.